ACUUUAUAAAGUAUUUUAAAAGCCCAAUCAUAUAUCUACAACACAGCAGAUUUGGGGUCUACAAAAACCCGAAGUUUUAUGGAAAUAACAGCUCACUGGAAAUUAUGGAUAAAAUUAUUCUCCAGGACUUUAAAAAGGAAGAUUGUUCUAUCGAGGACUACGUUGAUUAUAUCAAAUAUAUACUAAAUGUGAAAAAUAUUCCUCAAACUGACGCCACUUUAAAAAAAAUAUUUAUAGCUUAUGGAGGAAUAAACAUUAUAACUGAUAUCAAAAAUUACUCUAUCCUAGGAAUAUAGAGGAGGUAGGAUGGAUUGACAUAUAUAAAAUAGCAAAACAACUAUAUAAAGAUAAAGAACUAUUUUGGCAUCAAGAAUUGAUUUCAUUAGAUUAAGUCGCGGGGCUACUGAAUCCGUAAUGAGCUAUUUAAAAUAUAUAAAGGAGCUAGCCCGAAGAUGCUAAUUUGAAGACAAUGUAGAACUGAGAAUUCGAGAUCAAUUAAUCGCUGGACUAAAGAUGUCAUAACUGGAUAAAGAACUACGAUUAAGAUAUCCAGAUACUAAAGACGAAGACCAACCGUUAAGCUUAAACAAAGUGGUAGAAUUGGCUUUAGCGAUGGAACGAGCCUAACUUAGAAAUAAAUAAUACUGCUAAAAUGGUAUAUCAAAUCAAAGAGCCGAAUAAACAUGAUAAUAAUAAUCGGGUAAAUCAACAUGAUAAAAAUAAUCGGCAGUAUAAUAAUAAUGAUAAUGAUAAACGGCACUAUCAAAAGGAUAAUAAAGCGUAUGUAAAAAGUGAAAGUGCCCUGGUAUAAUAAAUACCGUACAAAUAAUAAUAGUAAUUGGAGAAAACCAUGCUAUUUCUGUAAUCGGUUUCAUGCUAUUAGAAAUUCUCCCGCCUACGGAAAAUUGUUCAGCAAAUGUAGGAAACCAAACCACUUCGCUCUAUGUUGUAAAUCUAAAAAAAAGAUUUACGGAACAAAUUACAAUAAAAAAGAAGAUGAUUUGAAUGUCUCAAUAAGAAAAUACAAAUAUGGGCAACAUUCAACAAUUGAGAACCGAUUGUUUUGAUUACAAAAAAUGACGACGAUGUAAAUAAUAAAGUCGCGCGGUUUUUCGGUCUUCGGUCAAGUUUAAUAAUAUAUAGAAUUAUAAAUAUUUUUUUGUUUAUAAAAAAAAUAUUAGAUCUGUUUAGA
Gordionus sp. m RMFG-2023 is the source of this 1192-nucleotide long non-coding RNA. RefSeq lists it as uncharacterized. The record is from RefSeq and is a predicted model, not a curated record. NCBI's taxonomy places the organism in Eukaryota, Metazoa, Nematomorpha, Gordioida, Chordodea, Parachordodidae. The transcript is spliced from 3 exons.